AGUGAACGCUGGCGGUAGGCCUAACACAUGCAAGUCGAACGGCAGCACAGGAGAGCUUGCUCUCUGGGUGGCGAGUGGCGGACGGGUGAGGAAUACAUCGGUAUCUACUCUGUCGUGGGGGAUAACGUAGGGAAACUUACGCUAAUACCGCAUACGACCUACGGGUGAAAGCAGGGGACCUUCGGGCCUUGCGCGAUUGAAUGAGCCGAUGUCGGAUUAGCUAGUGGGCGGGGUAAAGGCCAACCAAGGCGACGAUCCGUAGCUGGUCUGAGGGGAUGAGCAGCCACACUGGAACUGCGACACGGUGCAGACUCCUACGGGAGGCAGCAGUGGGGAAUUUUGGACAAUGGGCGCAAGCCUGAUCCAGCCAUUCCGCGUGGGUGAAGAAGGCCUUCGGGUUGUAAAGCCCUUUUGUAGGGAAAGAAAUCCAGCUGGCUAAUACCCGGUUGGGAUGACGGUACCCAAAGAAUAAGCACCGGCUAACUUCGUGCCAGCCGCCGCGGUAA
This 506-nucleotide ribosomal RNA is filed under the name uncultured bacterium. Its description in RNAcentral is "partial 16S ribosomal RNA". It matches the Rfam family "Bacterial small subunit ribosomal RNA", at positions 29 to 523 of the family's 1533-position model. The record is from RNAcentral.